This 711-nucleotide ribosomal RNA is filed under the name Triticum aestivum (bread wheat). RNAcentral's name for it is "partial small subunit ribosomal RNA". The record is from RNAcentral. Lineage: Eukaryota; Viridiplantae; Streptophyta; Magnoliopsida; Poales; Poaceae.
AUGUUCUACUACGGCCUAGAUUUCCAUGAUCUGGCCCCGAAUUUUAUUCUCAACAUCUCGGCGUUUAUCAUUGUGUGCGAGGCCUUCCUCUGCAUCCAACCCCACUUCGGCUUGUGGCUCAAGACCCUCAGUGUCAAGCCGAAGGUUGUGAAGGGCAGCCAAGCGGAGUGCGGAGGCGCCAUGGUGGGCAGGAUGUCCCACAUUAGGUGGCUGGAGGGCACCUUUGUGGAAACCAUGAAGGGGUGGCAAUCGGGGUGGUUCUACAUCACUGAGCCGCGUGAUCCCGAAUGGGCAGCGGCCCCCGAAUUCAGAUCCGGCAUCCCCACACGGCUCACCUCCUGGAAAGAGAGCGGCCGGAUUUGGGGCGAUUCGGAGGAGCUGACCGGACUCCAAGCCUGCGUCCAAAAGCUGGUGGACAAGAAGCUCAAGCUUGUCAACGUAGUCCAGGUCAUGCUCAUCUGCCAGAUUCUCCCGUGCCAACGACGGGGCUUCAAUAUGUGGGAGUUCGAUCCGGCGCAGCACCAGACUUUGAAUGGGCUCUUCGACACUACGUACGAAGAGGUUUGGAAGGUGCUGUUCAAGGGCGCCGAGGCUCCCGCAUCCGCUACUGAAGAUCGCGGAUUCAGCUCGCAGCGUCCAGCUGACGAGGUAAGUGAUAUUGUCCUUUACGGGACGCUUGUUAUUCAUAGUUUGACUCUAUGCGGGAUCUAA